Molecule: long non-coding RNA, 651 nt
Organism: Esox lucius (northern pike)
Lineage: Eukaryota; Metazoa; Chordata; Actinopteri; Esociformes; Esocidae
Source: Ensembl
CCUAGCUACAGCCAAAUCCGCCCCAGAGGCAGAGCGUCGACCACGCCUCUCAACAAAUCAUUGCUUAGUAACGCUAGUAAUCAUCAAAAUCGAGUCGGUGCGGAUAGUUGCUCGUGGACUUCUUUGUUCACGUUCCCUUAACGCCCGUCUCCUGUCAGGAAACAGACGAGUACAGACGGUCUGCUGCUUCUACCCAAGGCCAAAGGACAAUAAUUGAGUUCCAGAAAAGUUGUCUUUUGAGGAGAUACCAGAGGAGCAGGUGAAGAUCUUCCACACCCUUCUGAAAAAGCCAGCAACACCUAGCUUCAUUUUUUUCUUGUUCUGCACAUCUCUCGUCUGAGAAGAAAACCCAACAUCUUUGUUUAUCCAUGUAGCGCCUUUGGGCGCUUUGGGUUAGAAUACAGGGACAGGGUCAAAGGCCAUUCCAUCUUACUGACCUCUGAGUUGACCUCAUCAGGCUAUAAAAAAACAAGCAGUCUAGACUAAGAAUGACCCAUAUAGACAAAGGGAAUGUUAAGGGAAUGUUCUUAGUUUGUUUAAAUGUAAUUAUAAUACACCUAAACUGCACAUUUGUGUACAUUAGCAUAUUUUAAUGUACUGUUCACAGGCACUAUUAGACUUAUAUAUAUAAUAUUUAAUAUUUCUUUCAUA